Molecule: ribosomal RNA, 607 nt
Filed under: uncultured Pezizomycotina
Lineage: Eukaryota; Fungi; Ascomycota
Description: eukaryotic LSU rRNA
Rfam family: 5.8S ribosomal RNA (bases 212-365)
Source: RNAcentral
GUAACAAGGUCUCCGUUGGUGAACCAGCGGAGGGAUCAUUACAAGAGAGUUGAGAAACUCCCAAACCCACUGUGAACCUACCUGUAUUUUCUGCUUCGGCGGGCAGCCCCAGGGCGGGGCCGCGCGCCCGGGGUUGUACCCGGGUGCCCGCCGAAAGCAACAAAAACUCUGUUUUUUCAGUGUCUUCUGAGCUAUAAAACAAACAAGUUAAAACUUUCAACAACGGAUCUCUUGGUUCUGGCAUCGAUGAAGAACGCAGCGAACUGCGAUAAGUAAUGCGAAUUGCAGAAUUCUACGAGUUAUCGAAUCUUUGAACGCACAUUGCACCUGCCAGUAUUCUGGCAGGUAUGCCUGUUCGAGCGUCAUUUCAACCCCCCAAGCCCUGGCUGCUUGGUGUUGGGGCUUAAUCUGCAGCGCCUUUACGGCGGCUGCAGGCCCCUAAUUACAGUGGCGGACCCACCGAGGCCCCGAGCGCAGUAGUGUAUCUCCUCGCUCCAGGGCGCCGCGGCGGGCUCUCCUGCCGUAAAACCCCCACUAUUUUUCAAGGUUGACCUCGGAUCAGGUAGGACUACCCGCUGAACUUAAGCAUAUCAAUAAGCGGAGGAAA